This 439-nucleotide ribosomal RNA is filed under the name uncultured bacterium. RNAcentral describes it as "partial 16S ribosomal RNA". It matches the Rfam family "Bacterial small subunit ribosomal RNA", at positions 339 to 795 of the family's 1533-position model. The record is from RNAcentral.
CUACGAGUGGCACCAGUGGGGAAUUUUGCGCAAUGGGGGAAACCCUGACGCAGCAAUACCGCGUGAGUGAAGAAGGCCUUUGGGUCGUAAAGCUCUUUUCUUGGGGAAGAUAGUGACGGUACCCAAGGAAUAAGCACCGGCUAACUCCGUGCCAGCAGCCGCGGUAAUACGGAGGGUGCAAGCGUUGUUCGGAUUUACUGGGCGUAAAGGGCACGUAGGCGGCACAGCAAGUUAAGGGUGAAAUCCCGGGGCUCAACUCCGGAACUGCUCUUAAAACUGCUGAGCUAGAGAUAGUCAGAGGCGGGUGGAAUUCCAGGUGUAGAGGUGAAAUUCGUAGAUAUCUGGAGGAACACCGGUGGCGAAGGCGGCCCGCUGGGGCUAUUCUGACGCUAAGGUGCGAAAGCGUGGGGAGCAAACGGGAUUAGAUACCCGGGUAGUC